Molecule: ribosomal RNA, 253 nt
Filed under: uncultured bacterium
Lineage: Bacteria
Description: partial 16S ribosomal RNA
Rfam family: Bacterial small subunit ribosomal RNA
Source: RNAcentral
UACGUAGGGUGCAAGCGUUAAUCAGAAUUACUGGGCGUAAAGCGUGCGCAGGCGGUUUUGUAAGUCUGAUGUGAAAUCCCCGGGCUCAACCUGGGAAUUGCAUUGGAGACUGCAAGGCUAGAAUCUGGCAGAGGGGGGUAGAAUUCCACGUGUAGCAGUGAAAUGCGUAGAGAUGUGGAGGAACACCGAUGGCGAAGGCAGCCCCCUGGGUCAAGAUUGACGCUCAUGCACGAAAGCGUGGGGAGCAAACAGG